Molecule: ribosomal RNA, 213 nt
Filed under: Triticum aestivum (bread wheat)
Lineage: Eukaryota; Viridiplantae; Streptophyta; Magnoliopsida; Poales; Poaceae
Description: partial small subunit ribosomal RNA
Source: RNAcentral
AUGGAGGUGGUAUGUUGGAAUGUGUGGGGGCUAAAUAGCCCGGCCAAGAAAAAGGCCCUUAGGAAGUUCAUGGACACGGUGCGCGUCGCAAUUGUGUGUAUCUUGGAGUCUAAACUCGAAAGAGUCGACCAAUUUGUGAUCAUGCAAUGUUUAGGGCCUUCUUACAAUGGUUUUUUCUACCUUCCGGCGUCGGAUACGAGAGGGGGCAUCAUC